This 253-nucleotide ribosomal RNA is filed under the name uncultured bacterium. RNAcentral describes it as "partial 16S ribosomal RNA". It matches the Rfam family "Bacterial small subunit ribosomal RNA", at positions 524 to 776 of the family's 1533-position model. The record is from RNAcentral.
UACCGAGGGGGCAAGCGUUGUUCGGAAUUACUGGGCGUAAAGGGCGCGUAGGCGGCCUUCUAAGUCGAACGUGAAAUCCCCGGGCUCAACCCGGGAACUGCGUCCGAUACUGGAAGGCUUGAAUCCGGGAGAGGGAUGCGGAAUUCCAGGUGUAGCGGUGAAAUGCGUAGAUAUUGGGAGGAACACCAGUGGCGAAGGCGGCUCACUGGACCGGAACUGACGCUGAGGCGCGAAAGCGUGGGGAGCAAACAGG